RNAcentral lists this unclassified non-coding RNA (516 nucleotides) under Zea mays. Its description in RNAcentral is "misc RNA Zm00001eb289440". Lineage: Eukaryota; Viridiplantae; Streptophyta; Magnoliopsida; Poales; Poaceae. The record is from RNAcentral.
CACGCACGCGCCACUAACUACAUACAACCAGAAAGAAGCAACCGCGCAUCACGCAGGCAGGCAGAUGAAAAACAACCUUGGCCGCGGGAGCCUUACGCUCUCCCCCGUCGCCGAGGAGGCCCGCGAGGCGGCGCGAGAGCCCCGCCAGGCUGUCCUCCUCGUCGCUCUCGCUCCGGGCCGCCACGGCCGCCUUCUCCUCCUCGGAGAAGAAGUCGUCGUCCAAAAAGUCCUCCGGCAGCCAGAACUCCUCCCCGAGGUCCGCGCACUCCGUGGUCGACAUUUCCUCCACUCUCGACACCGUCGAAGAAGCCUGAAAAGCCCACCGCCGACCGGUGGAAUGAGCACAGCGCCCGGAACCCUGGCGGACCAGCGGCAGCAGCAGCAACAACAACCACUGCGUGCGGCUCCCUCUCCAAAGCAGAGAGAAAAGCGGCGGGUGGAUGGAUGGAUGGAUGGAGUGGGGAGUAGCGGCGUGCUUAUCAGCGAAAAGAGGUGGGAGUGGCACGGCGAGAAAGA